GGAUCUAUAGCAUAACUGGAUAAUGCACUCGGUUUCUACCCGAGCGACUGUGGGUUCGAGUCCCACUGGAUCCA
RNAcentral lists this transfer RNA (74 nucleotides) under Weissella viridescens. Its description in RNAcentral is "tRNA-Arg". It matches the Rfam family "tRNA". Rfam says of the family: Transfer RNA (tRNA) molecules are approximately 80 nucleotides in length. Their secondary structure includes four short double-helical elements and three loops (D, anti-codon, and T loops). Further hydrogen bonds mediate the characteristic L-shaped molecular structure. tRNAs have two regions of fundamental functional importance: the anti-codon, which is responsible for specific mRNA codon recognition, and the 3' end, to which the tRNAs corresponding amino acid is attached (by aminoacyl-tRNA synthetases). tRNAs cope with the degeneracy of the genetic code in two manners: having more than one tRNA (with a specific anti-codon) for a particular amino acid; and 'wobble' base-pairing, i.e. permitting non-standard base-pairing at the 3rd anti-codon position. Lineage: Bacteria; Bacillati; Bacillota; Bacilli; Lactobacillales; Lactobacillaceae. The record is from RNAcentral.